Molecule: ribosomal RNA, 471 nt
Filed under: Helicobacter pylori
Lineage: Bacteria; Pseudomonadati; Campylobacterota; Epsilonproteobacteria; Campylobacterales; Helicobacteraceae
Description: bacterial SSU rRNA
Rfam family: Bacterial small subunit ribosomal RNA
Source: RNAcentral
GCUAAGAGAUCAGCCUAUGUCCUAUCAGCUUGUUGGUAAGGUAAUGGCUUACCAAGGCUAUGACGGGUAUCCGGCCUGAGAGGGUGAACGGACACACUGGAACUGAGACACGGUCCAGACUCCUACGGGAGGCAGCAGUAGGGAAUAUUGCUCAAUGGGGGAAACCCUGAAGCAGCAACGCCGCGUGGAGGAUGAAGGUUUUAGGAUUGUAAACUCCUUUUGUUAGAGAAGAUAAUGACGGUAUCUAACGAAUAAGCACCGGCUAACUCCGUGCCAGCAGCCGCGGUAAUACGGAGGGUGCAAGCGUUACUCGGAAUCACUGGGCGUAAAGAGCGCGUAGGCGGGAUAGUCAGUCAGGUGUGAAAUCCUAUGGCUUAACCAUAGAACUGCAUUUGAAACUACUAUUCUAGAGUGUGGGAGAGGUAGGUGGAAUUCUUGGUGUAGGGGUAAAAUCCGUAGAGAUCAAGAGGA